GACGAACGCUGGCGGCGUGCUUAACACAUGCAAGUCGAGCGGCAAGGCCCUUUCGGGGGUACACGAGCGGCGAACGGGUGAGUAACACGUGGGUGACCUGCCCUCAGCUCUGGGAUAAGCCUGGGAAACUGGGUCUAAUACCGGAUAUGACUUCACAUCGCAUGGUGUGUUGUGGAAAGUUUUUUCGGCUGGGGAUGGGCCCGCGGCCUAUCAGCUUGUUGGUGGGGUGAUGGCCUACCAAGGCGACGACGGGUAGCCGGCCUGAGAGGGCGACCGGCCACACUGGGACUGAGACACGGCCCAGACUCCUACGGGAGGCAGCAGUGGGGAAUAUUGCGCAAUGGGCGGAAGCCUGACGCAGCGACGCCGCGUGGGGAUGACGGCCU
Molecule: ribosomal RNA, 386 nt
Filed under: uncultured bacterium
Lineage: Bacteria
Description: bacterial SSU rRNA
Rfam family: Bacterial small subunit ribosomal RNA
Source: RNAcentral